UGGUCAAGUUAUUAAGGGUGCAGGGCGGAUGCCUUGGCACUAGGAGCCGAUGAAGGACGUGAUAAGCUGCGAUAAGCUUCGGGGAGUUGCACGUAAACUUUGAUCCGAAGAUUUCCGAAUGAGGAAACUCACUUAGAGUAAUGUCUAAGUAUCAUUAAGUGAAUACAUAGCUUAAUGAGGGGAACUCAGGGAACUGAAACAUCUAAGUACCUGAAGGAAGAGAAAGAAAUUCGAUUCCGUAAGUAGCGGCGAGCGAACGCGGAGUAGCCCAAACCAAUAAAGUUUUCUUUAUUGGGGUUGCGGACAUAUCAUAACGAAGAGGUAUCGUAAUUGAAGAGGUUUGGAAAGACCCACCACAGAAGGUAAUAGUCCUGUAUGUUAAACGAGAAGACUUCAGAUAUGAUCCAGAGUACCACGGGACACGUGAAACCCUGUGGGAAGCAGGAGGGACCACCCUCCAAGGCUAAAUACUACCUAGUGACCGAUAGCGUAUAGUACCGUGAGGGAAAGGUGAAAAGAACCCCGGGAGGGGAGUGAAAUAGAACCUGAAACCCUGCACUUACAAGCUGUGGAAGCACAUUUCUUGUGUGACCGCGUACUUUUUGUAGAACGGGCCAACGAGUUACGUUAAGUAGCAAGGUUAAGCACUUAAGGUGCGGAGCCGUAGCGAAAGCGAGUUUUAACUGAGCGUUCAGUUACUUGACGUAGACCCGAAACCGGGCGACCUACCCAUGAGCAGGAUGAAGCGAAAGUAAAAUUUCGUGGAGGUCCGAACCCACGAGCGUUGAAAAGCUCGGGGAUGACUUGUGGGUAGCGGUGAAAUUCCAAUCGAGCCCGGAGAUAGCUGGUUCUCCCCGAAAUAGCUUUAGGGCUAGCCUCAAGGUGAGAGAUACGGAGGUAGAGCACUGAAUGUCCUAGGGG
This 921-nucleotide ribosomal RNA is filed under the name Clostridioides difficile. RNAcentral's name for it is "partial 23S ribosomal RNA". It matches the Rfam family "Bacterial large subunit ribosomal RNA", at positions 1 to 925 of the family's 2925-position model. The record is from RNAcentral. Lineage: Bacteria; Bacillati; Bacillota; Clostridia; Peptostreptococcales; Peptostreptococcaceae.